AGGAGGAAUAAGGAUGAGAGCAAGGUUGAUGAGGAUGAAGCCAUUUGGGGAUUGAUAGCUCGAAAGAUCAACAAGGCAAAUGUUGUUGUUAUUCCUCCUCCUCCUCUUCCCCUUCAUUGCCCACGCCGCCACCUUCAACGUCGUCAACCAGUGCACCUACACCGUCUGGGCUGCAGGCGUCCCCGGUGGCGGCCAGCAACUCGACCCCGG
This 210-nucleotide unclassified non-coding RNA is filed under the name Hevea brasiliensis (rubber tree). The record is from RNAcentral. Lineage: Eukaryota; Viridiplantae; Streptophyta; Magnoliopsida; Malpighiales; Euphorbiaceae.